GAACGAUGAUGCCCAGCUUGCUGGGUGGAUUAGUGGCGAACGGGUGAGUAACACGUGAGUAACCUGCCCCUGACUCUGGGAUAAGCGUUGGAAACGACGUCUAAUACUGGAUAUGAUCACUGGCCGCAUGGUCUGGUGGUGGAAAGAUUUUUUGGUUGGGGAUGGACUCGCGGCCUAUCAGCUUGUUGGUGAGGUAAUGGCUCACCAAGGCGACGACGGGUAGCCGGCCUGAGAGGGUGACCGGCCACACUGGGACUGAGACACGGCCCAGACUCCUACGGGAGGCAGCAGUGGGGAAUAUUGCACAAUGGGCGAAAGCCUGAUGCAGCAACGCCGCGUGAGGGAUGACGGCCUUCGGGUUGUAAACCUCUUUUAGUAGGGAAGAAGCGAAAGUGACGGUACCUGCAGAAAAAGCACCGGCUAACUACGUGCCAGCAGCCGCGGUAAUACGUAGGGUGCAAGCGUUGUCCGGAAUUAUUGGGCGUAAAGAGCUCGUACGCGGUUUGUCGCGUCUGCUGUGAAAUCCCGAGGCUCAACCUCGGGCUUGCAGUGGGUACGGGCAGACUAGAGUGCGGUAGGGGAGAUUGGAAUUCCUGGUGUAGCGGUGGGAAUGCGCAGAUAUCAGGAGGAACACCGAUGGCGAAGGCAGAUCUCUGGGCCGUAACUGACGCUGAGGAGCGAAAGCAUGGGGAGCGAACAGGAUUAGAUACCCUGGUAGUCCAUGCCGUAAACGUUGGGCGCUAGAUGUAGGGACCUUUCCACGGUUUCUGUGUCGUAGCUAACGCAUUAAGCGCCCCGCCUGGGGAGUACGGCCGCAAGGCUAAAACUCAAAGGAAUUGACGGGGGCCCGCACAAGCGGCGGAGCAUGCGGAUUAAUUCGAUGCAACGCGAAGAACCUUACCAAGGCUUGACAUACACCGGAAACGGCCAGAGAUGGUCGCCCCCUUGUGGUCGGUGUACAGGUGGUGCAUGGUUGUCGUCAGCUCGUGUCGUGAGAUGUUGGGUUAAGUCCCGCAACGAGCGCAACCCUCGUUCUAUGUUGCCAGCGGGUUAUGCCGGGGACUCAUAGGAGACUGCCGGGGUCAACUCGGAGGAAGGUGGGGAUGACGUCAAAUCAUCAUGCCCCUUAUGUCUUGGGCUUCACGCAUGCUACAAUGGCCGGUACAAAGGGCUGCGAUACCGUAAGGUGGAGCGAAUCCCAAAAAGCCGGUCUCAGUUCGGAUUGAGGUCUGCAACUCGACCUCAUGAAGUCGGAGUCGCUAGUAAUCGCAGAUCAGCAACGCUGCGGUGAAUACGUUCCCGGGCCUUGUACACACCGCCCGUCAAGUCAUGAAAGUCGGUAACACCCGAAAG
This 1353-nucleotide ribosomal RNA is filed under the name Curtobacterium sp. GIC20or. RNAcentral's name for it is "bacterial SSU rRNA". It matches the Rfam family "Bacterial small subunit ribosomal RNA", at positions 64 to 1427 of the family's 1533-position model. Lineage: Bacteria; Bacillati; Actinomycetota; Actinomycetes; Micrococcales; Microbacteriaceae. The record is from RNAcentral.